RNAcentral lists this ribosomal RNA (254 nucleotides) under uncultured bacterium. RNAcentral's name for it is "partial 16S ribosomal RNA". It matches the Rfam family "Bacterial small subunit ribosomal RNA", at positions 524 to 776 of the family's 1533-position model. The record is from RNAcentral.
UACGGGGGGAGCAAGCGUUGUUCGGAUUUACUGGGCGUAAAGGGCGCGUAGGCGGCCACCGCAAGUCGAUUGUGAAAUCUCCGGGCUUAACCCGGAAAGGUCAACCGAUACUGCGGGGCUAGAGUGCAGAAGGGGCAACUGGAAUUCUCGGUGUAGCGGUGAAAUGCGUAGAUAUCGAGAGGAACACCUGCGGCGAAGGCGGGUUGCUGGGCUGACACUGACGCUGAGGAGCGAAAGCGUGGGGAGCGAACAGG